This is a non-coding RNA of Myodes glareolus (Bank vole), 3307 nucleotides long. The record is from RefSeq and is a predicted model, not a curated record. NCBI's taxonomy places the organism in Eukaryota, Metazoa, Chordata, Mammalia, Rodentia, Cricetidae.
UAGAAAUCUGCAGCAGGAAUCGAACGUCUCGGGUCUAGCCCUGGUAGCAGACCUGCUCACUCCUCUUGCAACUAACUGGGGAUCAUUCAUUUCAUCGGAAGUGAGGUGACAGAACAUCAAAUGCACCAUCAGUGGUAACAGGACAGGUUCUUUAAAAGCAAAAGUUCUCACGCAAAUGAAAACUUGGUGGUAACAGAGCAGUUUCCAAGGUGGCAGGUGACGGCUGUAUAGCACCAUUCCCCUGAACCCAAAUCUGACAUUAUAUUUAUACAAGACUCAGUCAAGCUUUGAAAUGGAGUCAAAUUGAGGAAGAAGGGCCUGCUGAGCCUUACUCCUAAUCUGUGUUAUGAAUGACUUAAAGAAUGUGAAAAGAAAUGUUAGUACCCUUUAUUUGUUUUUCUAAAGAUUUGUUUAGUGUGUGUAUGUGUGUGUGCAUGUACGUGUGUACGUGUGCAUGUGUGCGUGUGUGUGUGUGUGUGUGUCCUGUCACUUUCCGAGUACUCCUUUGAGACGGGGUCUUUACCUGAACCUGAGGCUCAUCUCUUCUUGACUAAGCUAGAAGCCAGCAAACCUAGCCACUGCCUCUUGUCUCUUCCCUCUCCAGGCUGAGGUAAUGGAAGGUGGGAUGCCAGACUCCUUUGAUGAGUGCUGGGGUUCACACUCAGGGCCACACUAUCCUGCAGCAAGUGCCCUCAAGACCCAGGUCAUGUCUCUAGCCACCUUCUAUCUAUUUUAGUGUUUUUGUCCCAUCUACUUUUGAAAGUUUAAAAUGGACUGGCUACUGUAUAUUAAGUCAAAAGACUUUUAUGUAUUACAUUUCUGCGUUUAAAAUUGGAGUCCAAAAUGUCGCAGCGCCCGCCACGGCACCAUCACCUGGAGGAGUUUAGACUUCAGAAUCAAGGUUCCUACCCCACGAUAUGCAGUCAGUGUCUGCCUUUGUACUAGCUGCCUGCCGAAGACUGGGCGCAUCCCAGCCUGAAGAACACUGAUCUUCAUGGGCUCUGUCUGGGCACAUUUGGCCAUGAUACAGAACUUGAUUCACCAAUGAAUCACCUUUAUGUUAAUUGUUAUACACAGGGGAAAAAGGGACCGCAUUGCUCCUGGAUCUCUGCAUCCCCAAACUUAACCAGCUUCUAGUAGAAAACAAAACAUUUUUAAAAGCCAUCUACACUGAAUACCUGUAGACUUACCCCUCAUUGUGCUCCACACAGAAUACAGAAUAACAAGUCUUUCCACCACACCGGGGUGCUAUCAGUAAUCUAGAGAUUCCUUAGAACUUAAAGUUAUACUGUAAAUUUAAAUUACUGAUUAUUUAAAGCAUUAGAAAAUAUGAAUACAUGGUGUGUAAACACUAUAUAAUACACUUAUACAAUCUAAGAUUUGGAUAUUUCAGAGGAACCCUAAAACUAGCCCUCCCGUUUGAGGGGUGACAAUAUAUGUGUGAAGAAAAUAGCACUCCUCGAAGAGCCCCAGUUCAUCUAUGAAAGAAACUGGCUUGAAAUGAGUGUGUUGGGGUCUUCUCUAGGAAUGUGCUCUCUGAGGCAGUAGAGGGAGCACAAGAGUGCUUAGGACAGCCAUUGUACACAGGGCGCUCCAAAGCAUGACAGAUUUUUAAACUGCAGUAUAUGUUUGCAUUGGAAGUAGCCCGUUACGCCAUUCCAAACAAAACAAAACGAAAAAGCUAACAAACACACUGCCUACCCGAUUACAGCAGCUAAAUAAUUGAACAGAUUGCAAAUUACAUAAAAUAAAAGAUACAAGAUAUACUCAUUUCAAGUUCUAGGCUUGCAUUCUUCCAGUGGACUUCAAGAAUCCUGCUUAGAAAAGGUACUUUAUUGCCAAGAAUGCACAAAGCCCUUCCCCCCCCCCCCACCCAGUUUGAUGCUCUGGGUGUGGCUGGCACACACCUGUAAUGUGGACUGGGGAAUUCCAAAUUGUUGUCCCUGAACUAUGUAGCAAGUUCAAGGAUAGCCUAGGAUAGGUGGGAUGUUGUCUUAGGGAAAAAAAAAAGUAAAAAGUCUUCCUGGCCUGGUGACGUACCUCAAAGGUUAAAAGAACUGACCACCAAGCCUGAGGACCCAGGUUCAGUCCCUGAAUCCACACGGUGGAAGGACAGACCAAGUCCUGCAAGUUUUCCUCUGACUUCCCUCACAGUAAGUAAAUGCACAUGAUAAAAUUUAGUUAAUAAAAGGAAAAGAUGUGUUGGUUUUCUCUAGUCAAAAAUAAUGUUAAUUUUUCAGAAUAGACAACCCAGAGAGAAACUAAAAUGGAUAACUAAGAAAGGAGCUACUUCAUCAAUAUUAUACCCAAUAAAUUGAUUUUGAGUCAGACGCAUUGGUUAAAAAGUAGAUGAUUUUUGUAAUACUUUCAAAAAUGUCUCAUUUUGGGCUGUUUCAACUGCUUGCCAUGAUGACCAUCAAUUUGAUUAUAUUUAUAUAAUAUUUCAUGCUGUUCAGAUUUCUCCUAUAUCAUACCCUCAAACACUUCCCUGGGGUGGCUAGGGCACAUAGGAAAAGCCAAGAUUGAAUCAGGAAGCUACACAGUGAGAGCUAGUUGACAUUUAGUAAGUAUCUAUUUAUUUAUUGUAGGUGAAUUUCAUGAGGUAGUCCAGGCUGGCCUAGAACCUCCAGUCCUCCGAUCAAAACCACAGGAGUGCUGGGAUGACAGCCUAGAUUGGUCUCCAGCUGAUAAGCAUGCAUUCAGUAAGAGAUGAGGAAUAGUGCACCAGGCCUGGAGCCUUGGACCCAGGGACCAGCAUUCGGGAAGUGGAGACAGAGAAAUCUAAAGCCCAAAGUCGACCUCAGCUACAUGGUGAGCUGCAGAGCACGUGGGACCUUAUAAUUAGAACCUGUGUCUUAAUUCUCGAGCUGUUCUUUCUGUCCUUGCUGUUCCUCGGGCACUAUUUGUUUUGCCUCUAGUACACAAUAUACACUAUACAUAGACCCCCCCCCUCCGCCGCCAAGAACACACACUGAGGAAAAUGGACUAUCCCACAGUUUACCAACCUUACCUUUCUAAAAUAUGUAUAUCUUUACCAGGGUGAGGAGGCUCACUGCUGACCGACCAGUAGCUCUCAGAAACACACAGCGCUGGAAGCACUGAGAAUCCAAGACGGCACUCACUGAAAUGUUGGGGUGGGGGUAGGAGAACAGUUGUAUAACUCUUGAGCAAGGUUAGGCUUACAAACUCCUAUUAGCCUUUCAGCUUUGUAAACCAGACCAAAUGUGAAGGCGAAAUGCAUCUUAUCUAAGUGCACCUCCUAUCAAAGAUCAUCGAAGUUGAAGUAGUAAACAUUUAUUUAUUCUUA